RNAcentral lists this ribosomal RNA (450 nucleotides) under uncultured bacterium. Its description in RNAcentral is "partial 16S ribosomal RNA". It matches the Rfam family "Bacterial small subunit ribosomal RNA", at positions 354 to 796 of the family's 1533-position model. The record is from RNAcentral.
GUGGGGAAUUUUGGACAAUGGGGGCAACCCUGAUCCAGCCAUCCCGCGUGUGCGACGAAGGCCUUCGGGUUGUAAAGCACUUUUGGCAGGAAAGAAAUUGCCUGGGUUAAUACCCUGGGUAGAUGACGGUACCUGCAGAAUAAGCACCGGCUAACUACGUGCCAGCAGUCGCGGUAAUACGUAGGGUGCAAGCGUUAAUCGGAAUUACUGGGCGUAAAGCGUGCGCAGGCGGUUCGGAAAGAAAGAUGUGAAAUCCCAGGGCUUAACCUUGGAACUGCAUUUUUAACUACCGGGCUAGAGUGCGUCAGAGGGAGGUGGAAUUCCGCGUGUAGCAGUGAAAUGCGUAGAUAUGCGGAGGAACACCGAUGGCGAAGGCAGCCCCCUGGGAUGACACUGACGCUCAUGCACGAAAGCGUGGGGAGCAAACAGGAUUAGAAACCCCUGUAGUCC